Cyprinus carpio carpio is the source of this 375-nucleotide long non-coding RNA. The record is from Ensembl. NCBI's taxonomy places the organism in Eukaryota, Metazoa, Chordata, Actinopteri, Cypriniformes, Cyprinidae.
AGAUGGUAGUGCAAUUGCCAACAACAAUGAAAAAUAAAUACAUGAAAUCCGAAUGUGUGUCAGUCUCAUCUGUUUUUGAUUCCCAUGUCAGACAGCCAUGAGGAGCAUCUGUUCUCUCACUGCCUGAGAGAAGCAAAAGAGGCCUUUUUUUGUAUAUGGUGAGCGAUUCGUGGGAGGAAGUCCAGUAAACCGAACCUGGUGAUUCAGCACCACACCAUGCGGAGACCUUCUGGGAAACUACGUCUUAUGGCUAACUUAACGACUGCAUGCUGUCAACGUGACCAACACUCCUAAAUGCAGCAGAUAGAGAAGAUGAACGUGGCAAUGAGAGUUUGUUUUGGCCUACACUUAAAGAGCAGCAUUUCUUAAAAGAAC